RNAcentral lists this ribosomal RNA (498 nucleotides) under uncultured bacterium. Its description in RNAcentral is "partial 16S ribosomal RNA". It matches the Rfam family "Bacterial small subunit ribosomal RNA", at positions 30 to 523 of the family's 1533-position model. The record is from RNAcentral.
AUUGAACGCUGGCGGCAUGCCUUACUCAUGCAAGUCGAACGGUAACAGGUCUUCGGAUGCUGACGAGUGGCGAACGGGUGAGUAAUACAUCGGAACGUGCCUAGUAGUGGGGGAUAGCUACUCGAAAGAGUGGCUAAUACCGCAUGAGAUCUACGGAUGAAAGCAGGGGAUCGCAAGACCUUGUGCUACUAGAGCGGCCGAUGGCAGAUUAGGUAGUUGGUGGGAUAAAAGCUUACCAAGCCGACGAUCUGUAGCUGAUCUGAGAGGACGAUCAGCCACACUGGGACUGAGACACGGCCGAGACUCCUACGGGAGGCAGCAGUGGGGAAUUUUGGACAAUGGGCGAAAGCCUGAUCCAGCAAUGCCGCGUGCAGGAUGAAGGCCUUCGGGUUGUAAACUGCUUUUGUACGGAACGAAAAGCCCCGGGUUAAUACCCUGGGGUCAUGACGGUACCGUAAGAAUAAGCACCGGCUAACUACGUGCCAGCCGCCGCCGUAA